UUGGUUCAGGACGAACGCUGGCGGCAUGCCUAACACAUGCAAGUCGAGCGGGGACAUGCGACGGAUAGGAAGAUUCGGUUGGACUUGAAGAUGCAUUGUUCUAGCGGCGGACGGGUGAGUAACGCGUGAGCAACCUGUCCCUUACAGGGGGAUAACACAGCGAAAGUUGUACUAAUACCGCAUAAGACCACGGGAGGACAUCCUUCAGGGGUCAAAGGAGGAAUCCGGUAAGGGGUGGGCUCGCGUCCGAUUAGAUAGUUGGUGAGGUAACGGCCCACCAAGUCGACGAUCGGUAGCCGACCUGAGAGGGUGAUCGGCCACAUUGGGACUGAGACACGGCCCAAACUCCUACGGGAGGCAGCAGUGGGGAAUAUUGGGCAAUGGGGGGAAACCCUGACCCAGCAACGCCGCGUGAGGGAAGAAGGUUUUCGGAUCGUAAACCUCUGUCCUUGGUGAAGAGGAAGAGACGGUAGCCAAGGAGGAAGCCCCGGCUAACUACGUGCCAGCCGCCGC
RNAcentral lists this ribosomal RNA (513 nucleotides) under uncultured bacterium. RNAcentral describes it as "bacterial SSU rRNA". It matches the Rfam family "Bacterial small subunit ribosomal RNA", at positions 19 to 518 of the family's 1533-position model. The record is from RNAcentral.